Molecule: ribosomal RNA, 484 nt
Filed under: uncultured bacterium
Lineage: Bacteria
Description: bacterial SSU rRNA
Rfam family: Bacterial small subunit ribosomal RNA
Source: RNAcentral
AUUGAACGCUGGCGGAAUGCUUUACACAUGCAAGUCGAACGGCAGCACGGACUUCGGUCUGGUGGCGAGUGGCGAACGGGUGAGUAAUACAUCGGAACGUGCCCAGUCGUGGGGGAUAACGUAGCGAAAGCUACGCUAAUACCGCAUACGAUCUAAGGAUGAAAGCGGGGGAUCGCAAGACCUCGCGCGAUUGGAGCGGCCGAUGGCAGAUUAGGUAGUUGGUGGGGUAAAGGCCUACCAAGCCGACGAUCUGUAGCUGGUCUGAGAGGAUGAUCAGCCACACUGGGACUGAGACACGGCCCAGACUCCUACGGGAGGCAGCAGUGGGGAAUUUUGGACAAUGGGCGCAAGCCUGAUCCAGCCAUUCCGCGUGCAGGACGAAGGCCUUCGGGUUGUAAACUGCUUUUGUACAGAACGAAAAGCUCUGGGUUAAUACCCUGGGGUCAUGACGGUACUGUAAGAAUAAGCACCGGCUAACUACGUG